GGUUAAGCGACUAAGCGUACACGGUGGAUGCCCUGGCAGUCAGAGGCGAUGAAGGACGUGCUAAUCUGCGAAAAGCGCCGGCGAGGUGAUAUGAACCUUUGACCCGGCGAUGUCCGAAUGGGGAAACCCAGUGUGUUCCGACACACUAUCGUUAACUGAAUACAUAGGUUAACGAGGCGAACCGGGGGAACUGAAACAUCUAAGUACCCCGAGGAAAAGAAAUCAACCGAGAUUCCCCCAGUAGCGGCGAGCGAACGGGGAGCAGCCCAGAGUCUGAAUCAGCUUGUGUGUUAGUGGAAGCGUCUGGAAAGUCGCACGGUACAGGGUGACAGUCCCGUACACGAAAGCACACAGGCUGUGAACUCGAAGAGUAGGGCGGGACACGUGGUAUCCUGUCUGAAUAUGGGGGGACCAUCCUCCAAGGCUAAAUACUCCUGACUGACCGAUAGUGAACCAGUACCGUGAGGGAAAGGCGAAAAGAACCCCGGCGAGGGGAGUGAAAAAGAACCUGAAACCGUGUACGUACAAGCAGUGGGAGCCUCUUUUAUGGGGUGACUGCGUACCUUUUGUAUAAUGGGUCAGCGACUUAUAUUCUGUAGCAAGGUUAACCGUAUAGGGGAGCCGAAGGGAAACCGAGUCUUAACUGGGCGUUAAGUUGCAGGGUAUAGACCCGAAACCCGGUGAUCUAGCCAUGGGCAGGUUGAAGGUUGGGUAACACUAACUGGAGGACCGAACCGACUAAUGUUGAAAAAUUAGCGGAUGACUUGUGGCUGGGGGUGAAAGGCCAAUCAAACCGGGAGAUAGCUGGUUCUCCCCGAAAGCUAUUUAGGUAGCGCCUCGUGAACUCAUCUUCGGGGGUAGAGCACUGUUUCGGCUAGGGGGCCAUCCCGGCUUACCAACCCGAUGCAAACUACGAAUACCGAAGAAUGUUAUCACGGGAGACACACGGCGGGUGCUAACGUCCGUCGUGAAGAGGGAAACAACCCAGACCGCCAGCUAAGGUCCCAAAGUCAUGGUUAAGUGGGAAACGAUGUGGGAAGGCACAGACAGCCAGGAUGUUGGCUUAGAAGCAGCCAUCAUUUAAAGAAAGCGUAAUAGCUCACUGGUCGAGUCGGCCUGCGCGGAAGAUGUAACGGGGCUAAACCAUGCACCGAAGCUGCGGCAGCGACACUAUGUGUUGUUGGGUAGGGGAGCGUUCUGUAAGCCGUUGAAGGUGUCCUGUGAGGGGUGCUGGAGGUAUCAGAAGUGCGAAUGCUGACAUAAGUAACGAUAAAGCGGGUGAAAAGCCCGCUCGCCGGAAGACCAAGGGUUCCUGUCCAACGUUAAUCGGGGCAGGGUGAGUCGACCCCUAAGGCGAGGCCGAAAGGCGUAGUCGAUGGGAAACAGGUUAAUAUUCCUGUACUUGGUGUUACUGCGAAGGGGGGACGGAGAAGGCUAUGUUAGCCGGGCGACGGUUGUCCCGGUUUAAGCAUGUAGGCGGAACGAUUAGGUAAAUCCGGUCGUUUAUUAACGCUGAGGUGUGAUGACGAGGCACUACGGUGCUGAAGUAACAAAUGCCCUGCUUCCAGGAAAAGCCUCUAAGCAUCAGGUAACACGAAAUCGUACCCCAAACCGACACAGGUGGUCAGGUAGAGAAUACCAAGGCGCUUGAGAGAACUCGGGUGAAGGAACUAGGCAAAAUGGUGCCGUAACUUCGGGAGAAGGCACGCUGAUAUGUAGGUGAAGCCCCUGCGGGUGGAGCUGAAAUCAGUCGAAGAUACCAGCUGGCUGCAACUGUUUAUUAAAAACACAGCACUGUGCAAACACGAAAGUGGACGUAUACGGUGUGACGCCUGCCCGGUGCCGGAAGGUUAAUUGAUGGGGUUAGCGGUAACGCGAAGCUCUUGAUCGAAGCCCCGGUAAACGGCGGCCGUAACUAUAACGGUCCUAAGGUAGCGAAAUUCCUUGUCGGGUAAGUUCCGACCUGCACGAAUGGCGUAAUGAUGGCCAGGCUGUCUCCACCCGAGACUCAGUGAAAUUGAACUCGCUGUGAAGAUGCAGUGUACCCGCGGCAAGACGGAAAGACCCCGUGAACCUUUACUAUAGCUUGACACUGAACACUGGUCCUUGAUGUGUAGGAUAGGUGGGAGGCUUUGAAGCGUGGACGCCAGUCUGCGUGGAGCCAACCUUGAAAUACCACCCUUUAAUGGCUGGUGUUCUAACGUAGACCCGUAAUCCGGGUUGCGGACAGUGUCUGGUGGGUAGUUUGACUGGGGCGGUCUCCUCCCAAAGAGUAACGGAGGAGCACGAAGGUUAGCUAAUCCUGGUCGGACAUCAGGAGGUUAGUGCAAUGGCAUAAGCUAGCUUGACUGCGAGAGUGACGGCUCGAGCAGGUGCGAAAGCAGGUCAUAGUGAUCCGGUGGUUCUGAAUGGAAGGGCCAUCGCUCAACGGAUAAAAGGUACUCCGGGGAUAACAGGCUGAUACCGCCCAAGAGUUCAUAUCGACGGCGGUGUUUGGCACCUCGAUGUCGGCUCAUCACAUCCUGGGGCUGAAGUAGGUCCCAAGGGUAUGGCUGUUCGCCAUUUAAAGUGGUACGCGAGCUGGGUUUAGAACGUCGUGAGACAGUUCGGUCCCUAUCUGCCGUGGGCGCUGGAGAAUUGAGGGGGGCUGCUCCUAGUACGAGAGGACCGGAGUGGACGCAUCACUGGUGUUCGGGUUGUCAUGCCAAUGGCACUGCCCGGUAGCUAAAUGCGGAAGAGAUAAGUGCUGAAAGCAUCUAAGCACGAAACUUGCCCCGAGAUGAGUUCUCCCUGAGACUUUAAGUCUCCUGAAGGAACGUUGAAGACUACGACGUUGAUAGGUCGGGUGUGUAAGCGCAGCGAUGCGUUGAGCUAACCGAUACUAAUGAACCGUGAGGCUUAACCUU
Molecule: ribosomal RNA, 2906 nt
Filed under: Enterobacter ludwigii
Lineage: Bacteria; Pseudomonadati; Pseudomonadota; Gammaproteobacteria; Enterobacterales; Enterobacteriaceae
Description: 23S ribosomal RNA
Rfam family: Bacterial large subunit ribosomal RNA
Source: RNAcentral